RNAcentral lists this ribosomal RNA (750 nucleotides) under uncultured bacterium. RNAcentral's name for it is "bacterial SSU rRNA". It matches the Rfam family "Bacterial small subunit ribosomal RNA", at positions 44 to 787 of the family's 1533-position model. The record is from RNAcentral.
AAGUCCUAAAAUGGCAAGUCGAACGAGAGACCUUCGGGUCUCUAGUGGCGAACGGGUGAGUAACACGUAGGGAACCUGCCCGCGCACCGGGAAUACGCUCUGGAAACGGAGAACAAAUCCCGAUGUACAGGAAGGAGGCAUCUUCUUUCUGUGAAACAUCCUUUCGGGGAUGGGGCGCGGAUGGACCUGCGGUGCAUUAGUUGGUUGGCGGGGUAAAGGCCCACCAAGACGAUGAUGCAUAGCCGGCCUGAGAGGGCGGACGGCCACAUUGGGACUGAGACACGGCCCAGACUCCUGCGGGAGGCAGCAGUAGGGAAUUUUCGUCAAUGGGCGCAAGCCUGAACGAGCGAUGCCGCGUGAGUGAAGAAGGCCUUCGGGUCGUAAAGCUCUGUUGCGGGGGAAAAAAGGCAGCAUCAGGAAAUGGGUGCUGACUGAUGGUGCCCCGCCAGAAAGUCACGGCUAACUACGUGCCAGCAGCCGCGGUAAUACGUAGGUGGCGAGCGUUAUCCGGAAUGAUUGGGCGUAAAGGGUGCGCAGGCGGUCCUGCAAGUCUGGAGUGAAACGCAUGAGCUCAACUCAUGCAUGGCUUUGGAAACUGGAGGACUGGAGAGCAGGGGAGGGCGGUGGAACUCCAUGUGUAGCGGUAAAAUGCGUAAAUAUAUGGAAGAACACCAGUGGCGAAGGCGGCCGCCUGGCCUGUUGCUGACGCUGAGGCACGAAAGCGUGGGGAGCAAAUAGGAUUAGAUACCC